This 519-nucleotide ribosomal RNA is filed under the name uncultured bacterium. Its description in RNAcentral is "bacterial SSU rRNA". It matches the Rfam family "Bacterial small subunit ribosomal RNA", at positions 355 to 867 of the family's 1533-position model. The record is from RNAcentral.
UGGGGAAUUUUGGACAAUGGGGGCAACCCUGAUCCAGCAAUGCCGCGUGUGUGAAGAAGGCCUUCGGGUUGUAAAGCACUUUUGUCCGGAAAGAAAUCCCUUGCCCUAAUACGGUGGGGGGAUGACGGUACCGGAAGAAUAAGCACCGGCUAACUACGUGCCAGCAGCCGCGGUAAUACGUAGGGUGCAAGCGUUAAUCGGAAUUACUGGGCGUAAAGCGUGCGCAGGCGGUCCGCUAAGACAGAUGUGAAAUCCCCGGGCUUAACCUGGGAACUGCAUUUGUGACUGGCGGGCUAGAGUAUGGCAGAGGGGGGUAGAAUUCCACGUGUAGCAGUGAAAUGCGUAGAGAUGUGGAGGAAUACCGAUGGCGAAGGCAGCCCCCUGGGCCAAUACUGACGCUCAUGCACGAAAGCGUGGGUAGCAAACAGGAUUAGAUACCCUGGUAGUCCACGCCCUAAACGAUGCAUAUUUGGUGUAGGUCAUUCAGUUGAUCUGUGCCGGAGCUAACGCGUUAAAUAG